ACGCUCGACACCUACGGAGCAGCAGUGGGGAAUAUUGCACAAUGGGGGAAACCCUGAUGCAGCGACGCCGCGUGAAGGAAGAAGUAUUUCGGUAUGUAAACUUCUAUCAGCAGGGAAGAAAAUGACGGUACCUGACUAAGAAGCCCCGGCUAACUACGUGCCAGUGGCCGCGGCAAUCUGAGGCGGGCUGGCAAGGC
Molecule: ribosomal RNA, 197 nt
Filed under: uncultured bacterium
Lineage: Bacteria
Description: partial 16S ribosomal RNA
Rfam family: Bacterial small subunit ribosomal RNA
Source: RNAcentral